UACAGAGGCCCCAAGCGUUACUGAGAAUCACUGGGUUUAAAGGGUGCGUAGGUGGCGCGCUAAGUCGGGUGUGAAAUUUCGGAGCUUAACUCCGAAACUGCAUUCGAUACUGGCGUGCUUGAGGACUGGAGAGGAGACUGGAAUUCAUGGUGUAGCAGUGAAAUGCGUAGAGAUCAUGAGGAAGACCAGUGGCGAAGGCGGGUCUCUGGACAGUUCCUGACACUGAGACACGAAGGCCAGGGAGCAAACGGG
Molecule: ribosomal RNA, 252 nt
Filed under: uncultured bacterium
Lineage: Bacteria
Description: partial 16S ribosomal RNA
Rfam family: Bacterial small subunit ribosomal RNA
Source: RNAcentral